GCCAGCAUGGCAUAGUGGUUUGAGCAUUGGAUUAUGACUCUCGAGACCAGGGUUUGAUUCCCAGCUUGGCC
This 71-nucleotide transfer RNA is filed under the name Phrynosoma platyrhinos (Desert horned lizard). RNAcentral's name for it is "tRNA-OTHER". Lineage: Eukaryota; Metazoa; Chordata; Lepidosauria; Squamata; Phrynosomatidae. The record is from RNAcentral.